Small nuclear RNA from Callorhinchus milii (elephant shark), 107 nucleotides. The record is from Ensembl. Lineage: Eukaryota; Metazoa; Chordata; Chondrichthyes; Chimaeriformes; Callorhinchidae.
GUGCUCGCUUCAGCAACGCAUAUAAUAAGACUGGAACUGUACAGAGAAGAUUAGCAUGGAACCUGCACAAGAAUAACACACAAAUUUGUGAAGAGUUCCAUAGUUUU